GAGGAGCUUGCUCCUCUGAUUUAGCGGCGGACGGGUGAGUAACACGUGGGUAACCUGCCUGUAAGACGGGGAUAACUUCGGGAAACCGAAGCUAAUACCGGAUAAUAAAGAGAAACUCCUGUUUCUUUUUUGAAAGUCGGUUUCGGCUGACGCUUACAGAUGGGCCCGCGGCGCAUUAGCUAGUUGGUGAGGUAACGGCUCACCAAGGCCACGAUGCGUAGCCGACCUGAGAGGGUGAUCGGCCACACUGGGACUGAGACACGGCCCAGACUCCUACGGGAGGCAGCAGUAGGGAAUCUUCGGCAAUGGACGAAAGUCUGACCGAGCAACGCCGCGUGAGCGAUGAAGGCCUUCGGGUCGUAAAGCUCUGUUGUCAGAGAAGAACAAGUACCGGAGUAACUGCCGGUACCUUGACGGUACCUGACCAGAAAGCCACGGCUAACUACGUGCCAGCAGCCGCGGUAAUACGUAGGUGGCAAGCGUUAUCCGGAAUUAUUGGGCGUAAAGCGCGCGCAGGCGGUUCCUUAAGUCUGAUGUGAAAGCCCACGGCUCAACCGUGGAGGGUCAUUGGAAACUGGGGAACUUGAGUGCAGGAGAGAAAAGUGGAAUUCCACGUGUAGCGGUGAAAUGCGUAGAGAUGUGGAGGAACACCAGUGGCGAAGGCGGCUUUUUGGCCUGUAACUGACGCUGAGGCGCGAAAGCGUGGGGGAGCAAACAGGAUUAGAUACCCUGGUAGUCCACGCCGUAAAC
RNAcentral lists this ribosomal RNA (750 nucleotides) under Fictibacillus rigui. RNAcentral's name for it is "bacterial SSU rRNA". It matches the Rfam family "Bacterial small subunit ribosomal RNA", at positions 73 to 807 of the family's 1533-position model. Lineage: Bacteria; Bacillati; Bacillota; Bacilli; Caryophanales; Fictibacillaceae. The record is from RNAcentral.